ACCUUAUAAAGAUGUAGUUACGCAAGACAGUAACGCAUUUCCCUUUAAGGCGAUAUUAGAUAUAGAAGUAUAAGUGAAAAGUCUUAUUGUGAAGCUACACGUUGAAAUAGGAUGAGCUUAUAUGGAAAAGGUUAACCGUAAGACCUUAUGUUGAAAAACAUUAAAAUUGACCUAAGAAUAAGAAUAUUUUUGUUAUUUUUAGUUACGGCGGU
This 212-nucleotide non-coding RNA is filed under the name unclassified sequences. RNAcentral's name for it is "IS605-orfB-I RNA". It matches the Rfam family "IS605-orfB-I RNA". The record is from Rfam by way of RNAcentral.